RNAcentral lists this ribosomal RNA (785 nucleotides) under uncultured bacterium. RNAcentral's name for it is "bacterial SSU rRNA". It matches the Rfam family "Bacterial small subunit ribosomal RNA", at positions 57 to 846 of the family's 1533-position model. The record is from RNAcentral.
GCAGUCGAGCGAGCGAUUUAAAUGAGACUUCGGUGGAUUUUAAAUUGACUGAGCGGCGGACGGGUGAGUAACGCGUGGAUAACCUGCCUCACACAGGGGGAUAACAGUUAGAAAUGACUGCUAAUACCGCAUAAGCGCACGGUACCGCAUGGUACAGUGUGAAAAACUCCGGUGGUGUGAGAUGGAUCCGCGUCUGAUUAGGUAGUUGGUGAGGUAACGGCCCACCAAGCCGACGAUCAGUAGCCGACCUGAGAGGGUGACCGGCCACAUUGGGACUGAGACACGGCCCAAACUCCUACGGGAGGCAGCAGUGGGGAAUAUUGCACAAUGGGCGAAAGCCUGAUGCAGCAACGCCGCGUGAGUGAAGAAGUAUCUCGGUAUGUAAAGCUCUAUCAGCAGGGAGGAAAAUGACGGUACCUGACUAAGAAGCCCCGGCUAACUACGUGCCAGCAGCCGCGGUAAUACGUAGGGGGCAAGCGUUAUCCGGAUUUACUGGGUGUAAAGGGAGCGCAGACGGCACUGCAAGUCUGAAGUGAAAGCCCGGGGCUCAACCCCGGGACUGCUUUGGAAACUGUAGAGCUAGAGUGCUGGAGAGGCAAGCGGAAUUCCUAGUGUAGCGGUGAAAUGCGUAGAUAUUAGGAAGAACACCAGUGGCGAAGGCGGCUUGCUGGACAGUAACUGACGUUCAGGCUCGAAAGCGUGGGGAGCAAACAGGAUUAGAUACCCUGGUAGUCCACGCCGUANACGAUGAAUACNAGGUGUUGGUGGGCAAAGCCCAUCGGUGC